AGACUCCUACGGGGGGCCGCAGUCUACAAGCUUCCUACAACGGACGAAAGUCUGAUGGAGCGGACGCCGUCUGUGGGAUGACUGCCGCUGGAGGUUGUAAACCACUGUCAUCAGGGAAGACUGCCUUGAUGGCGAAUCACGGACAGACGGUACCUGCUGACGAAGCCCCUGCUACCUCCUUGCCACCCACCUCGGUGAAUCACCGAGUGGUGCCACGUUGUUCGGAUUGUACUGUGCGUAAAGGGUGUCUACGCGGUUCGAUUAGUCUGGUGUGACAAUAUCCAUCGCUCACCGCAGAUGACGCAUUGGAAACAGUCGAGCUCGAGAUUGGAAGAGUCAGCUGGCAAUUCCUGGUAUACCGGUGGAAUGCGUAGAUAUCAGGAAGAACACUCGUGCCGAAGACGGCAUGCUGGUCCAUUUCCGACGCUGAAGCACGAAAGCCAGGGGAGCGAACGGGAUUAGAUACCCCGGUAGUCCUGGCCGUAAACGUUGAACACUGGAUGUCGGGGAUAUCGACCCCCUCGGUGUCGGAGCUAACGCGUUAAGUGAUCCGCAUGGGGAGUACGUCCGCAAGGUUGAAACUCAAAGGAAUUGACGGGGGCCCGCACAACCGGUGGAGGAUGUGGACUAAUUGGACGCGACGCGAAGAACCUUACCUGGGCUUAAACCGCAGGGUAAACCGUAUGAAAGGAGGG
This 695-nucleotide ribosomal RNA is filed under the name uncultured organism. RNAcentral's name for it is "bacterial SSU rRNA". It matches the Rfam family "Bacterial small subunit ribosomal RNA", at positions 333 to 1012 of the family's 1533-position model. The record is from RNAcentral.